GACGAACGCUGGCGGCGUGCCUAAUACAUGCAAGUCGAACGCAUUUUCUUUCACCGUAGCUUGCUACACCGAAAGAAAAUGAGUGGCGAACGGGUGAGUAACACGUGGGUAACCUGCCCAUCAGCGGGGGAUAACACUUGGAAACAGGUGCUAAUACCGCAUAAUUCCAUUUACCGCAUGGUAGAUGGAUGAAAGGCGCUUUUGCGUCACUGAUGGAUGGACCCGCGGUGCAUUAGCUAGUUGGUGGGGUAACGGCCUACCAAGGCUGCGAUGCAUAGCCGACCUGAGAGGGUGAUCGGCCACACUGGGACUGAGACACGGCCCAGACUCCUACGGGAGGCAGCAGUAGGGAAUCUUCGGCAAUGGACACAAGUCUGACCGAGCAACGCCGCGUGAGUGAAGAAGGUUUUCGGAUCGAAAAACUCUGUUGUUAGAGAAGAACAAGGAUGAGAGUGGAAAGUUCAUCCCUUGACGGUAUCUAACCAGAAAGCCACGGCUAACUACGUG
This 507-nucleotide ribosomal RNA is filed under the name uncultured bacterium. RNAcentral's name for it is "partial 16S ribosomal RNA". It matches the Rfam family "Bacterial small subunit ribosomal RNA", at positions 28 to 507 of the family's 1533-position model. The record is from RNAcentral.